UGGAAAUUGGGACAAUGGAAACCCUGAUCCAGCCAUCCCGCGUGAGUGAUGAAGGCCUUCGGGUUGUAAAGUACUUGGCAGAGAAGAAGGUAUCCUAAUACGGGAUGCUGCUGACGGUAUCUGCAGAAUAAGCACCGGCUAACUACGUGCCAGCAGCCGCGGUAAUACGUAGGGUGCAAGCGUUAAUCGGAAUUACUGGGCGUAAAGCGUGUGUAGGCGGUUCGGAAAGAAAGAUGUGAAAUCCCAGGGCUCAACCUUGGAACUGCAUUUUUAACUGCCGAGCUUGAGUAUGUCAGAGGGGGGUAGAAUUCCACGUGUAGCAGUGAAAUGCGUAGAUAUGUGGAGGAAUACCGAUGGCGAAGGCAGCCCCCUGGGAUAAUACUGACGCUCAGACACGAAAGCGUGGGGAGCAAACAGGAUUAGAUACCCCGGUAGU
Molecule: ribosomal RNA, 436 nt
Filed under: Alcaligenes sp.
Lineage: Bacteria; Pseudomonadati; Pseudomonadota; Betaproteobacteria; Burkholderiales; Alcaligenaceae
Description: bacterial SSU rRNA
Rfam family: Bacterial small subunit ribosomal RNA
Source: RNAcentral